RNAcentral lists this ribosomal RNA (1343 nucleotides) under uncultured bacterium. RNAcentral describes it as "16S ribosomal RNA". It matches the Rfam family "Bacterial small subunit ribosomal RNA", at positions 28 to 1378 of the family's 1533-position model. The record is from RNAcentral.
GACGAACGCUGUCGGCGUGCUUAACACAUGCAAGUCGAACGGAAAGGCCCUGCUUUUGUGGGGUGCUCGAGUGGCGAACGGGUGAGUAACACGUGAGUAACCUGCCCUUGACUUUGGGAUAACUUCAGGAAACUGGGGCUAAUACCGGAUAGGAGCUCCUGCUGCAUGGUGGGGGUUGGAAAGUUUCGGCGGUUGGGGAUGGACUCGCGGCUUAUCAGCUUGUUGGUGGGGUAGUGGCUUACCAAGGCUUUGACGGGUAGCCGGCCUGAGAGGGUGACCGGCCACAUUGGGACUGAGAUACGGCCCAGACUCCUACGGGAGGCAGCAGUGGGGAAUAUUGCACAAUGGGCGGAAGCCUGAUGCAGCAACGCCGCGUGCGGGAUGACGGCCUUCGGGUUGUAAACCGCUUUCGCCUGUGACGAAGCGUGAGUGACGGUAAUGGGUAAAGAAGCACCGGCUAACUACGUGCCAGCAGCCGCGGUGAUACGUAGGGUGCGAGCGUUGUCCGGAUUUAUUGGGCGUAAAGGGCUCGUAGGUGGUUGAUCGCGUCGGAAGUGUAAUCUUGGGGCUUAACCCUGAGCGUGCUUUCGAUACGGGUUGACUUGAGGAAGGUAGGGGAGAAUGGAAUUCCUGGUGGAGCGGUGGAAUGCGCAGAUAUCAGGAGGAACACCAGUGGCGAAGGCGGUUCUCUGGGCCUUUCCUGACGCUGAGGAGCGAAAGCGUGGGGAGCGAACAGGCUUAGAUACCCUGGUAGUCCACGCUGUAAACGGUGGGUACUAGGUGUGGGGUCCAUUCCACGGGUUCCGUGCCGUAGCUAACGCUUUAAGUACCCCGCCUGGGGAGUACGGCCGCAAGGCUAAAACUCAAAGGAAUUGACGGGGCCCCGCACAAGCGGCGGAGCAUGCGGAUUAAUUCGAUGCAACGCGUAGAACCUUACCUGGGUUUGACAUGGAUCGGGAGUGCUCAGAGAUGGGUGUGCCUCUUUUGGGGUCGGUUCACAGGUGGUGCAUGGCUGUCGCCAGCUCGUGUCGUGAGAUGUUGGGUUAAGUCCCGCAACGAGCGCAACCCUUGUUCACUGUUGCCAGCACGUUAUGGUGGGGACUCAGUGGAGACCGCCGGGGUCAACUCGGAGGAAGGUGGGGAUGACGUCAAGUCAUCAUGCCCCUUAUGUCCAGGGCUUCACGCAUGCUACAAUGGCUGGUACAGAGAGUGGCGAGCCUGUGAGGGUGAGCGAAUCUCGGAAAGCCGGUCUCAGUUCGGAUUGGGGUCUGCAACUCGACCUCAUGAAGUCGGAGUCGCUAGUAAUCGCAGAUCAGCAACGCUGCGGUGAAUACGUUCCCGGG